RNAcentral lists this non-coding RNA (76 nucleotides) under human gut metagenome. The record is from RNAcentral.
ACCACUGUCGAAAGGCAGUGCUGAAUGCACAGAAGUCAGCAGAGGUCAUAGUAGUUGGGAAAGCCUAAUGAAGGAC